GAUGAAUGCUGGCGGCGUGCCUAAUACAUGCAAGUCGAGCGAACGGACGAGAAGCUUGCUUCUCUGAUGUUAGCGGCGGACGGGUGAGUAACACGUGGAUAACCUACCUAUAAGACUGGGAUAACUUCGGGAAACCGGAGCUAAUACCGGAUGAUAUUUUGAACCGCAUGGUUCAAAAGUGAAAGACGGUCUUGCUGUCACUUAUAGAUGGAUCCGCGCUGCAUUAGCUAGUUGGUAAGGUAACGGCUUACCAAGGCAACGAUGCAUAGCCGACCUGAGAGGGUGAUCGGCCACACUGGAACUGAGACACGGUCCAGACUCCUACGGGAGGCAGCAGUAGGGAAUCUUCCGCAAUGGGCGAAAGCCUGACGGAGCAACGCCGCGUGAGUGAUGAAGGUCUUCGGAUCGUAAAACUCUGUUAUUAGGGAAGAACAUAUGUGUAAGUAACUGUGCACAUCUUGACGGUACCUAAUCAGAAAGCCACGGCUAACUACGUG
Molecule: ribosomal RNA, 497 nt
Filed under: uncultured bacterium
Lineage: Bacteria
Description: partial 16S ribosomal RNA
Rfam family: Bacterial small subunit ribosomal RNA
Source: RNAcentral